AACCUUUGUUGUGUUAAGCCAUAGGUUCUGGAGUCAGCCAUUAGCCAAGCCUGACUACUGCAUAUCUCUACCUAACUGCUGCCUCAUCUAUCAUUUGAGGAGAAUGACAUCUACCCCCGGGGAUGUUGGGAAAGAUCUGAACAAGACACUGGUUGUCUAUCUGGUUCAGCCACAAAACUGGAAAUUAAGUGACUGAAAAGACCUACAUUAGCACCUGUUUUUGCUAACUGAAAGAAAUCCAAGGAGGAUAUUCGCUUUCACGAAAAAAACUGAAAAUAGCGCUCAGCUUUUGUUUUACGAGCUGUUAGAGCCCUUAUAGAGGCAGCACACAUCCCCAGCUGCGAGAGUGGAGCCUCCACGCUCCUUCCCUGGAAAUUGCACUCAGUGUCUCAGCAUCAAGCCGCCAGAGCCUUGAACUGUGUCUGUGAGCAUCUGUGCUUUAUCUCCACUUAUUUCAGUGGAUUAUUUUUUGGCUCUGGGGACAAAAAAAUUUUUCCCAUGUAAGUUAAUAGUAAUUGUUUCUUCGGUUUACUCCAUUUUGGCUUAUAAAACUUUUCGUAGGCAAAUUCUACUUUCGGAUAGCAACGGAAAUCUGUACAUUGUGAAAGGAUUCCCACAAUGGAGUUAACACAUCCAUUAUCUCACAUAUCUACCUUUUUUUGGUGAGAAUGCUUAAAAUCUACUCUCUUAGCAAAUUUCAAUUAUACAAUAUGGUAUUAUGAACUGUAGUCACCAUGCUAUAUGUCAGAUGGGAAUGUUUUCUUUCUUCUGAUUUG
Molecule: long non-coding RNA, 776 nt
Filed under: Equus asinus (donkey)
Lineage: Eukaryota; Metazoa; Chordata; Mammalia; Perissodactyla; Equidae
Description: lncRNA (ENSEASG00005029074.1)
Source: RNAcentral